This 492-nucleotide ribosomal RNA is filed under the name uncultured bacterium. Its description in RNAcentral is "partial 16S ribosomal RNA". It matches the Rfam family "Bacterial small subunit ribosomal RNA", at positions 29 to 507 of the family's 1533-position model. The record is from RNAcentral.
AGUGAACGCUGGCGGUAGGCCUAACACAUGCAAGUCGAACGGCAGCACAGUAAGAGCUUGCUCUUACGGGUGGCGAGUGGCGGACGGGUGAGGAAUACAUCGGAAUCUACUUUUUCGGGGGGGAUAACGUAGGGAAACUUACGCUAAUACCGCAUACGACCUACGGGUGAAAGCAGGGGAUAUUCGGACCUUGCGCGAUUGAAUGAGCCGAUGUCGGAUUAGCUAGUUGGCGGGGUAAAGGCCCACCAAGGCGACGAUCCGUAGCUGGUCUGAGAGGAUGAUCAGCCACACUGGAACUGAGACACGGUCCAGACUCCUACGGGAGGCAGCAGUGGGGAAUAUUGGACAAUGGGCGCAAGCCUGAUCCAGCCAUACCGCGUGGGUGAAGAAGGCCUUCGGGUUGUAAAGCCCUUUUGUUGGGAAAGAAAAGCAGCAGGUUAAUACCCCGCUGUUCUGACGGUACCCAAAGAAUAAGCACCGGCUAACUUCGUG